CUUUUUUCUUCAAGAUUUUUCAAAAUUUCAAAUUUUUUCCCAAAAUUUUUCCAUUUUUACAUUUAUUAUUUCUGAUUUAUAUAUAAAAGCAACAAAUACAGAUAUGGCAGGAGAUACACACCAAACAGGGUGUAGAAAUUAUUAUAUAUAACAGAUUAACUAAGUAUUGUGCAAUAGCAAUAGCAAGAAAUCUGCAAUUGAAAAUAAAUACAAAUCUUUUAACCAAUUUCAAUGGGAUUAAUUUAAAGUCUUAAAUUUUUGGGGGUUCUAACCUUGUAUUACUAUUUUGGAUAUUGGGCCCCAUUUUUAAAUUGGUCUACAUUGAGGUCCAAAGGGUCCAAAGUUAAAUUUGUUUGAUUUCAUCAAAAACUGAAUUAUUGCGGCUCUAUGAUAUGCUGAACCUUAUUGUGCAUUUAGAUUUUUAUUUUGGGCCCUGUUUUCAAAUUAGUCCAUAUUAAGGUUUGAAGGGUCCAAAAUGAAACUUUGUUUGAUUUCAACUAAAAUUAAAUUUUUGUUUUUUUUUUUAUAUGCUGAAUCUAACCAUGUUGUUAAAUUUAGACCAUACUAGGUAAAUUAAAUGUCCCAUUUCAAAUUUUUAAGAUCUUUGACCACAUUAAUUUUGUGUCAGAAACCUAUAUUAUAACAAAAAUGUGAUCACAAUCCAAAUUCAGACAGUAUCAAGCUUGAAUAUUGUGUCCAAACUUGCCCCAACUGUUCAGGGUUCGACCUCUGCGGUCGUAUCAGGCUGCGCUUGGCGAAGCAUUUUAUUUUUUGUGUGUUAAAUAAGUUUGUGUUCUAUCAUAUUGUUAGGAUAUUUACUUUAGAGAGAAUUUUUUCACAAUUUAAGGAAGAUUGCUGAAAUAUAGAUUAGAGAUGUUUUUUGCUUUUAUUCUAAUCUUUGGUAUUUUUUUACUAAAGUUUUUGUAUGUUUUUCUAAUAAAACAUGUAUCACUG
Mytilus californianus (California mussel) is the source of this 954-nucleotide long non-coding RNA. RefSeq lists it as uncharacterized. The record is from RefSeq and is a predicted model, not a curated record. The transcript has 2 exons. Lineage: Eukaryota; Metazoa; Mollusca; Bivalvia; Mytilida; Mytilidae.